UUUAUGCCGCAAUCAGCUGUAUUGGUGUUGCUUCCCUCAGGAUGUUGCUAUCUCUACAACAGCCGGAGAAGACGAAACAAGUUUUGAAAUGCACAUGGAGUGGCUCAGCUGUGAAUCUCGCAAAGGCUCUCCUGACGAGGAUCAAAUCAAUGAAAGGAUGGCCUUGACAUGUCGCCAAAGAAUUUCUGACAUCACCACAAAUAGUAUUCAUGAGGCGAAGAGAAAGUACCCAUACAUGAUGAGCUUUGAGUGGUGACUUUGCAAGACUAACUAAGAUUGACCCUUCACCUUGUGUUGCAAAAGGGAUCAACAAAAUUGUGAAAAUGGCAGAAAUGAAACACAUCCCUUGCAAAGCAAGUGUAAUGACAUCACUUGAACAGGCUCGUGAGAUGUCACCGGAGAGGCUGCGAACACGACGACCCGAGCGUUCCUGCAACCCCUUGCAUCGUAGUUUCUGGAGGAGACGUUGUAGAGGCUGACCUUCUCCACAUCAAGGUGGACCGUGAGAAGUUGUUUACGGUGAAAAAUGGGGAGGAGGGGCUGGCGGCUGUUUUAUCUGCUUACUGGCUCUUCAAUAUCCAGUACGACCGCAAGCUGUUCAACAGUCUUGUCGUGUUGGAGCGCCUUUUCCUUGGGCUCACAUUGAAUGCCCCUGGAGUAGUGGCUACGAAGUUCUUG
RNAcentral lists this long non-coding RNA (678 nucleotides) under Dermacentor andersoni. RNAcentral describes it as "uncharacterized LOC126518355". Lineage: Eukaryota; Metazoa; Arthropoda; Arachnida; Ixodida; Ixodidae. The record is from RNAcentral.